RNAcentral lists this ribosomal RNA (972 nucleotides) under uncultured bacterium. RNAcentral describes it as "bacterial SSU rRNA". It matches the Rfam family "Bacterial small subunit ribosomal RNA", at positions 110 to 1099 of the family's 1533-position model. The record is from RNAcentral.
GUAACAUAUAGUUAAUGUACCUUCAAGACUGGGAUAGCCACUGGAAACGGUGAUUAAUACUAGAUAUACCUUCAUAUCAAGAGCUAUGAAGGGAAACGUUUUUUCGCUUGAAGAUCAGACUAUAUCCCAUCAGUUAGUUGGUAGGGUAAUGGCCUACCAAGGCAAUGACGGGUAGCGGGUUUGAGAGGAUGAUCCGCCACACUGGUACUGAGACACGGACCAGACUCCUACGGGAGGCAGCAGUGAGGAAUAUUGCACAAUGGAGGAAACUCUGAUGCAGCAACGCCGCGUGGAGGAUGACGCAUUUCGGUGUGUAAACUCCUUUUAUGAGUCAAGAAAAUGACGGUAGCUCAUGAAUAAGCACCGGCUAACUCCGUGCCAGCAGCCGCGGUAAUACGGAGGGUGCAAGCGUUACUCGGAAUCACUGGGCGUAAAGGACGCGUAGGCGGGAUGUCAAGUCAGGUGUGAAAUCCUAUGGCUCAACCAUAGAACUGCAUUUGAAACUACGAGCCUAGAGUAUGGGAGGGGGAGAUGGAAUUAGUGGUGUAGGGGUAAAAUCCGUAGAUAUCACUAGGAAUACCGAAAGCGAAGGCGAUCUCCUGGAACAUUACUGACGCUAAGGCGUGAAAGCGUGGGGAGCAAACGGGAUUAGAUACCCCGGUAGUCCACGCCCUAACGAUGUUCACUAGUCGUCGGGAUGCUUGUCAUCUCGGUGAUGCACUUAACAGAUUAAGUGAACCGCCUGGGGAGUACGGUCGCAAGAUUAAAACUCAAAGGAAUAGACGGGGACCCGCACAAGUGGUGGAGCAUGUGGUUUAAUUCGAAGAUACGCGAAGAACCUUACCUGGGCCUUGACAUUGAUAGAACACACUAGAGAUAGAGUGGUGCCCUUCGGGGAGCUUGAAAACAGGUGCUGCACGGCUGUCGUCAGCUCGUGUCGUGAGAUGUUGGGUUAAGUCCCGCAACGAGCGC